Molecule: RNase P RNA, 414 nt
Filed under: Nevskia sp.
Lineage: Bacteria; Pseudomonadati; Pseudomonadota; Gammaproteobacteria; Nevskiales; Nevskiaceae
Description: RNase P RNA component class A
Rfam family: Bacterial RNase P class A
About the family: Ribonuclease P (RNase P) is a ubiquitous endoribonuclease, found in archaea, bacteria and eukarya as well as chloroplasts and mitochondria. Its best characterised activity is the generation of mature 5'-ends of tRNAs by cleaving the 5'-leader elements of precursor-tRNAs.
Source: RNAcentral
GGAGUCGGCCAGACAACCGCUGCCGUCGCAAGACGGGGGAGGAAAGUCCGGGCUCCGCAGGGCGAUGUGCCAGCUAACGGCUGGGCGGCGCAAGCCGACGGACAGUGCAACAGAAAGAUACCGCCGAUGGGCACGCGCUUGCGUGUGUCACAGGCAAGGGUGAAAUGGUGCGGUAAGAGCGCACCGCGAGUUCAGCAAUGAACCGGCACGGCAAACCCCACAUGGAGCAAGGCCAAAUAGGGAGGGAGGUGUCUGGCAGCAAUGCCAUUGGCACGACACGCGGCCCGCGUGCUCUCCGGGUAGGCUGCUGAAGACGGCGAGUGAUCGUCGUCGUAGAGGAAUGGUUGUCUCGGCGGCGUCGCGCGCAAGCGGGGCGUCGGUAGACAGAACCCGGCUUAUCGGCCGACUCCCCUU